UGAACGCUAGCGGCAGGCUUAACACAUGCAAGUCGAGGGGCAUCGGGAGUAGCAAUACUGCCGGCGACCGGCGCAAGGGUGCGUAACGCGUGAGCAACAUGCCCGUAUCAGGGGGGAUAAUCCAUGGAAACGUGGUCUAAUACCCCAUAGUAAUUAUGUAAGGCAUCUUAUAUAAUUUAAAGCUUUGGUGGAUACGGAUUGGCUCGCGUGACAUUAGCUGGAUGGUAAGGUAACGGCUUACCAUGGCUACGAUGUCUAGGGGUUCUGAGAGGAAGGUCCCCCCACACUGGAACUGAGACACGGUCCAGACUCCUACGGGAGGCAGCAGUGAGGAAUAUUGGACAAUGGAUGGAAAUCUGAUCCAGCCAUGCCGCGUGCAAGGAAGACGGCCCUAUGGGUUGUAAACUGCUUUUGUAUGGGAGCAAUAAGGGCUACGUGUAGUCCGAUGAGAGUACCAUACGAAUAAGCACCGGCUAACUCCGUGCCAGCCGCCGC
RNAcentral lists this ribosomal RNA (495 nucleotides) under uncultured bacterium. RNAcentral describes it as "bacterial SSU rRNA". It matches the Rfam family "Bacterial small subunit ribosomal RNA", at positions 30 to 518 of the family's 1533-position model. The record is from RNAcentral.